This 459-nucleotide ribosomal RNA is filed under the name uncultured bacterium. Its description in RNAcentral is "partial 16S ribosomal RNA". It matches the Rfam family "Bacterial small subunit ribosomal RNA", at positions 338 to 795 of the family's 1533-position model. The record is from RNAcentral.
CCUACGGGCGGCAGCAGUGAGGAAUAUUGGUCAAUGGGCGGAAGCCUGAACCAGCCAAGUAGCGUGCAGGAUGACGGCCCUACGGGUUGUAAACCGCUUUUGCACGGGGAUAACACCCUCCACUUGUGGAGGUCUGCAGGUACCGUGCGAAUAAGGGCCGGCUAAUUCCGUGCCAGCAGCCGCGGUAAUACGGAAGGCCCGAGCGUUAUCCGGAUUCGUUGGGCUUAAAGGGAGCGUAGGCGGGCGUUCAAGUCAGCUGUAAAAUCGCGCGGCUCAACCCCGUCGAGCCGUUGAAACUGGCAGACGUGAGUUGGCGAGAGGUACGCGGAAUGCGCGGUGUAGCGGUGAAAUGCAUAGAUAUCGCGCAGAACUCCGAUUGCGAAGGCAGCGUACCGGCGCCAGACUGACGCUGAGGCACGAAAGCGUGGGGAUCGAACAGGAUUAGAUACCCUAGUAGUC